RNAcentral lists this long non-coding RNA (292 nucleotides) under Struthio camelus australis. RNAcentral's name for it is "lncRNA (ENSSCUG00000009024.1)". The record is from RNAcentral. Lineage: Eukaryota; Metazoa; Chordata; Aves; Struthioniformes; Struthionidae.
ACUGUGAAUCUCGUUAUAAGAAAAGGGUCUGAAAGCCCAUGGACAUCCAAGAGAAUUAUGCCUAAUAAAUGGCAAUGGCAAAGGAAAUUUCCUGUGCUCACCUGAGGAGACCAUCCAGAUCAGACGCACGGAAGACUGAAUAUGAGCCCAAUGAAGGUUGCACAGGACUUGGGCUUGACGUGACCAUAAACCAAAGUGAAAAAUGAAGUGAAGGAACAUCCGGAUGAAAAAGAAUUAAACAAAACAACAUUUACAGCAAGGAAAUAACGUAAUAAAAUAAUAUCAGCCACCA